This is a long non-coding RNA of Pseudophryne corroboree (corroboree frog), 792 nucleotides long. RefSeq lists it as uncharacterized. The record is from RefSeq and is a predicted model, not a curated record. Lineage: Eukaryota; Metazoa; Chordata; Amphibia; Anura; Myobatrachidae. The transcript has 3 exons.
GCCGUGCGCUUGUUUACAAGUGAGUGACUCACCCUGUGUGGCGCCCGUCUCCUGACCUGCUCUCUCAUACCCCCAGCUCCGUCUAUUUCUGUUAGAGAGGAAGAGCAGGGACAGGGCUGUCGGCAUUAUGCGGAGGAGCAUCAUUAGUAAGGACUGCAGCCCUUUUAUCCCCGCCUCCGCCCUAGACUGCACAGCACUUCAAGUUCUCCCCUCUGGCUUCCAUCAACGAUCCCUCCCCCUAACAUUAUCAUCAUUACUACCGCCGGAAGCCCCAAGAUGAGGAUAGAAUGGCAGAGGGGUGUCUUCUGCAUCCGAAAGGCGAGAAUGCACCGCUGUGGCACCAGGCAGCGGCACCGGCAGUAUGAAGACUCCUCUCCCCUCCUCUGUGAAGAGCUGUGUGAGGACCUAAAAGGGGCGGAUAUAUGCAGGAAAAAGCGGCGGCGCUACACGGGACAAGGCUGCAGCCUGCAACACUGGAGGAUAACAUGCUACAGCCAGCCUAAUUUAGGGACCAAAUUUGGAGGGACAAGAGAGAGUUGAUAAACAAGGAACUAGAAUCCAGUCCAGUGACCAGUGUAAAAAAGGAAAAAGAGGAUAUAAAAGAGGCAAGAGAGGAGGAAAGAGGAAGAAAAAUAAGAAAACAGAACUCCCGGUAGAAUUAGAAGUAUUUAAUCUGUCCAGUCAGAAAUUAAGUGGGGAAGAAAUUAAAUUAUUAUCAAAAGGAUUGUCUUUUGCCCCAAAUACAGCACCCAAUGGGUUUGAAUUAUUUAUUGAUACUAAUAAAUUUGUAAG